RNAcentral lists this unclassified non-coding RNA (205 nucleotides) under Hevea brasiliensis (rubber tree). Lineage: Eukaryota; Viridiplantae; Streptophyta; Magnoliopsida; Malpighiales; Euphorbiaceae. The record is from RNAcentral.
GGGCUCAAGUUGUGAUAUGAGAACCUGCAAAGGAAAAAUCACACAUUUCAGAAUUAAAAUCAUGAUGAUAAUUGUCACAUAAGAGCUUAUGCAUGUCUUCUUCAGUCAUAGGCUUCAAUUUCUGGAGGAAAAAGCUCAGCUAUGGCAUCACCAGAAAGAGAUACAAACAACUCGGUGAACAAUCUGAAAAACAAGCCAAUCUAAU